Long non-coding RNA from Chroicocephalus ridibundus (black-headed gull), 169 nucleotides. RefSeq lists it as uncharacterized. The record is from RefSeq and is a predicted model, not a curated record. The transcript has 3 exons. Lineage: Eukaryota; Metazoa; Chordata; Aves; Charadriiformes; Laridae.
GCGGCUGCAGGCGUUCGCUGGGGCCUCGGGGAGCAGAGGGACAGGUCCCACUGAAGUUGCUGGUGGAUGAAGAUGGCAGGUCGCCGAUGGCUCGUGUCCCCCGUUCAAGGCCUGCUGCUCUGCAUCUUGGCUCUGCACCUCUGCGCCCAGGACCCUCUUGCCACAGCAG